AGUGGGAGGGGUGGGGGUGAGGGGAAAGGCGAGAGGUUUAGUGUGUGGAGCUGCCUGCGCUCCGCCCGGGCUGUCAGUCCCGGCUCCAGCCGCCGCGAGACCUUCCCGGAGACGCGCGCACACACAGCGCACCCCCUGCACACCGCACACCCUCGCUCCCUUGCUCACACACACGCACACACUCAGCCUGGCCGAGCAGGAGCCACUGACCAUUUUGCAAGUGCCAGGACCAGCUACAGCGCAGUGGGCGCAAACAUCCCGCUUUCCCUUUCCGGGCUUUAGUCUGGGAGACGACGACGAGGGAAGAAGAAACCAGAGGAGUCUUGUCUGGGGGUCCCAUCAUUAUUCGGGAUACCCGCCGCCAGCGGCCUGCCUUCGGUUACCCACAUCCCCUGGAACGGAUAUCUGUUUGGGGCACUACAAUCUAUCCUGUAGAACUAUGGCCAAAUCUCCAUCAAUGCUUUGCUAAUUUCUGGGACUUAACUCGUAGAAUCUACAUACAGGGCUGGAAUUUAUUCAAAAUGCAUCUGAAGAAAUGACAUUUUAAACCGUUUCUUAAAAUAUCUUGAUAAAAAUUUCUGUAAAACAGAAUUUGAUAGGUUUAAAAACAUGACAGCAGGCUCCCGCGGCGGCCGGGACCUCGCAUCCCUGCAACGUGGCCGGGG
RNAcentral lists this small RNA (665 nucleotides) under Pongo abelii (Sumatran orangutan). RNAcentral's name for it is "processed transcript". Lineage: Eukaryota; Metazoa; Chordata; Mammalia; Primates; Hominidae. The record is from RNAcentral.